GUGGGGAAUAUUGGGCAAUGGGCGAAAGCCUGACCCAGCAACGCCGCGUGAAGGAAGAAGGUCUUCGGAUCGUAAACUUCUAUCCUUGGUGAAGAUAAUGACGGUAGCCGAGAAGGAAGCCCCGGCUAACUACGUGCCAGCAGCCGCAGUAAUACGUAGGGGGCAAGCGUUGUCCGGAAUGAUUGGGCGUAAAGGGCGCGUAGGCGGCCUGGUAAGUCUGGAGUGAAAGUCCUGCUUUUAAGGUGGGAAUUGCUUUGGAUACUGUCGGGCUUGAGUGCAGGAGAGGUAAGUGGAAUUCCCGGUGUAGCGGUGAAAUGCGUAGAGAUCGGGAGGAACACCAGUGGCGAAGGCGACUUACUGGACUGUAACUGACGCUGAGGCGCGAAAGUGUGGGGAGCAAACAGGAUUAGAUACCCUGGUAGUCC
Molecule: ribosomal RNA, 425 nt
Filed under: uncultured bacterium
Lineage: Bacteria
Description: partial 16S ribosomal RNA
Rfam family: Bacterial small subunit ribosomal RNA
Source: RNAcentral